RNAcentral lists this ribosomal RNA (734 nucleotides) under uncultured Candidatus Saccharibacteria bacterium. RNAcentral's name for it is "bacterial SSU rRNA". It matches the Rfam family "Bacterial small subunit ribosomal RNA", at positions 56 to 824 of the family's 1533-position model. The record is from RNAcentral. Lineage: Bacteria; Candidatus Saccharimonadota.
UGCAAGUCGAGCGGUAAGGUCCCUUCGGGGAUACACGAGCGGCGGGCGGCUGAGUAACACGUAGGAACGUACCCCAAAGUGAGGGAUAAGCACCAGAAAUGGUGUCUAAUACCGCAUGUGCUCUAAGGAGUAAAGCUUCGGCGCUUUGGGAACGGCCUGCGUCCGAUUAGCUAGUUGGUGAGGUAAAAGCUCACCAAGGCGACGAUCGGUAGCUGGUCUGAGAGGAUGAUCAGCCAGACUGGGACUGAGACACGGCCCAGACUCCUACGGGAGGCAGCAGUAGGGAAUUUUCCACAAUGGGCGAAAGCCUGAUGGAGCAACGUCGCGUGCAGGAUGAAUGCCUUAGGGUUGUAAACUGCUUUUAUAUGUGACGAUAAUGACGGUAGCAUAUGAAUAAGGAUCGGCUAACUCCGUGCCAGCAGCCGCGGUCAUACGGAGGAUCCAAGCGUUAUCCGGAAUUACUGGGCGUAAAGAGUUGCGUAGGUGGCAUGGUAAGUAGAUAGUGAAAGAGUGUGGCUCAACCAUAUACACAUUAUCUAAACUGCCAAGCUAGAGGAUGAGAGAAGGUUAUUGGAAUUCCCAGUGUAGGAGUGAAAUCCGUAGAUAUUGGGAGGAACACCGAUGGCGUAGGCAGAUAACUGGCUCAUUCCUGACACUAAGGCACGAAAGCGUGGGGAGCAAACGGGAUUAGAUACCCCGGUAGUCCACGCCGUAAACUAUGGAUGCUAGCUGUU